Molecule: ribosomal RNA, 1755 nt
Filed under: Myxobolus bandyopadhyayi
Lineage: Eukaryota; Metazoa; Cnidaria; Myxozoa; Bivalvulida; Myxobolidae
Description: SSU rRNA
Source: RNAcentral
UAAAUCAGUGAUAGUCUGUUUGAGUUGUGAUCCCAUCGGAUAACCGUGGGAAAUCUAGAGCUAAUACGUGCGGUAAAUUGUCGUGGUGACGUAAAGUUGCUGGUUGACAAAGCAUUUAUUCGGCGUGCCAUCGACUGUGCGUGGUUGUGAACAACAACUAUUGGCAGUGAGAGGAAUCUGGAUAACUGUGCUGAUCGCUGUGGCUGAGUGAAGCCGGCGACGUGUCAAAUGAGUUUCUGCCCUAUCAACUUGUUGGUAAGGUAUUGGCUUACCAAGGUUGCAACGGGUGACGGGGAAUCAGGGUUCGAUUCCGGAGAGGGAGCCUGAGAAACGGCUACCACAUCCAAGGAAGGCAACAGGCGCGCAAAUUACCCAAUCUAGACAGUAGGAGGUGGUGAAAAAAAUUACUAGGUGUUGAUCCAAUGGAUCAAUGGUUUGGAAUGAAGGUAACUUAAGAAAUUCGUUGAGAAACAACUGGAGGGCAAGUCCUGGUGCCAGCAGCCGCGGUAAUUCCAGCUCCAGUGGUUUGAUUAAACGUUGUUGCGUUUAAAACGCUCGUAGUUGGAGCAUGCAGUGGUGGAGUGUAAUCUGUGGUUGAUACCGAGCUAGUGUGUAUGUGUUGAUGUUUCAAUGUUUGUCUCGUACAAAUGUUGAGAGGUUGAUACAACUGGAGCGUGUGUUGAGCCAAGAUGUGAAUGCACUUGACUACUAGUUGCACGUGAAGUGAGACGUUGGCCUUGAAUGUGCCGAUGUGUCAGUUUGCGGAGUGUGCCUUGAAUAAAACAGAGUGCUUAAAGCAGGUGUUGACUGCCUGAAUGUGAUAGCAUGGAACGAACGAUCGUGUUGAUGCAUGUGUUGAUUAAGUAGUGAUGAGCCUUGGUUUGUUGAGACUUGUGUGUGACAUGUGCUGCACCCACCAAAAUAUGGUUGUUGGUUGAACAUAUGAGGUGAUGAUUAAGAGGAGCGGUUGGGGGCAUUGGUAUUUGGCCGCGAGAGGUGAAAUUCUUAGACCGGCCAAGGACUAACAAAUGCAAAGGCAGUUGUCUAGACCGUGUCCAUUGAUCAAGAACGAAAGUGGGAGGUUCGAAGACGAUCAGAUACCGUCAUAGUUCCCACUGUAAACUAUGCCGACCUGGGAUGAGUUUGCAGAUGUUGUGAUAAGCUGCAAAUUGGUCCCCCUGGGAAACCUGCAAGUUUUUCGGUUACGGGGAGAGUAUGGUCGCAAGGCUGAAACUUAAAGGAAUUGACGGAAGGGCACCACCAGGGGUGGAGCCUGCGGCUUAAUUUGACUCAACACGGGGAAACUUACCUGGUCCGGACAUCGAUAGGAUUAUCAGAUCGAUAGCUCUUAUAUGAUUCGAUGAGUGGUGGUGCAUGGCCGUUCUUAGUUCGUGGAGUGAUCUGUCGGCCUCAACGCGGUAACGUACGAGACCACAUUCUCCAUUUAAGACAUGAAAGUAGAUGUGUUGAUGUGGUGAGUGGUGAUACAUCAUGAACCAUGGUUGAUACACAUUGUUGAUAAGAAUUGAUGACUAUCAUCAUUUUUACUUGAUGAACAUUGUGUAUGUGUUGAGGCAACGAGAUACGUGUGCAGUGAACAAAAAGUGAGUGAAGAUGGUUGUUGAUGUCUGCCUUUCACUACGCAGCAGUGGGUUGCGGCCRGCUGUUGGCUUAUGGAGAGACAACGAGGUAUAAACAAGCUCGAGGAAGUGUGGCUAUAACAGGUCAGUGAUGCCCUUCGAUGUCCAGGGCUGC